This is a non-coding RNA of Pelobates cultripes (western spadefoot toad), 1125 nucleotides long. NCBI's taxonomy places the organism in Eukaryota, Metazoa, Chordata, Amphibia, Anura, Pelobatidae. The record is from the annotation of a GenBank genome assembly.
GUAAAAUUAAGGUUAAUUGCAUGGUAGUUGUUUGAAUUUAGUUCCGUUUGUAAGUAGAGAUAGAUAGCGGUUAUAAAGAGGGUGGACCAGUACGUGCUCUGAUUUGUGAUACUUUUGCAUGUCUUACAGAGAUGCAAGCAAUCCUGGUAAACACAAGAUGGUUAAGUUUCAAUAAAAGGAAAUCAGAUGGGGUACAGUGUCAAGUGUGUUGUAUGUAACGACACACUGUAUUACAGCAUAACUAAGAUUUAGGUGUACAAGAAAAGUAGACUGAAAUAUAGGCCGCCAGUUUUAUUUGAACCACAAUACCCAUAAUGCAUUAUCAGUCACUUGAAAACAUAUGUACGGUACGUGAAAAUAGUAGCUCUAUAAUAUUUAAAAUUCCAAAUGAAAAUACCCCUAAUAAAAGGAGUUAGCAUGUGCCAGUAGUAAGUAAUACAUAAAUGGGUCAAUUAAAAUGGAAAUUAAGAACAAAUUGUAGAAUGGGUGUUCAAUAGACCGUAAAAUAGCCUAUUCAGUGUUAUUGAUACUCCAUCAAAAAGGGCCUAACUUUCCUGCAUAUGAAGCAAGAAUUUGUCAUGUCACUAGGUUCCCUCAUUACAAUGAACCCGUGUGAUGUCAACUGUAAAAAUAAUUCCCCAGAAUCCCCAAGUUGUUCAUACCGUUAUUUGAUAAAAGUGAGAAUUGUCAGGAAUUCAAAGUGAAUUCUACACGAAUUUCAAAUUUAAGGCUGAAUAAGCCAAACUGGAAUCAUAGUUGACUGAAACCUUUUUCCAAAUUGGCUAGUAUGAAUUUAAAUUUGAAAUGCUUUGAAUUCCUGAAAAAAUUCUCACAUUAGCGAAAAAACCUUGAGAGGCACCUUAUGUUUUAAUAAGGCUAACCACUGUGCUAUUAGAGUAACUCCUUAAGUGUGUAGUAUGUCUGUGUAAGUAUACAAUGAGACAGUACAUUUAGGCAGUGUGUUGAUCAACAUGUAAGUAUUAAGUUAAAAAAUGUACGUGUCCAAUGGCUUGAUUGAAAAGUCUUCUACGGAAAAAGCAAGCAGGCAGACCAGACAGAACCCAUUUAUAUGUACAAAAAAAAAUUGCUUGCCUAUUGGGGUGUAACCUGUUGAACAUCCUGUUC